GGCCAGGUAGCUCAGUCGGUAGAGCAGCGGAUUGAAAAUCCGCGUGUCGGCGGUUCGAUUCCGUCCCUGGCCACCA
RNAcentral lists this transfer RNA (76 nucleotides) under Azoarcus sp. RNAcentral's name for it is "tRNA-Phe". It matches the Rfam family "tRNA". Rfam says of the family: Transfer RNA (tRNA) molecules are approximately 80 nucleotides in length. Their secondary structure includes four short double-helical elements and three loops (D, anti-codon, and T loops). RNAcentral also lists the same sequence under 17 other names. Lineage: Bacteria; Pseudomonadati; Pseudomonadota; Betaproteobacteria; Rhodocyclales; Zoogloeaceae. The record is from RNAcentral.